UACGUAGGGUGCAAGCGUUGUCCGGAAUUAUUGGGCGUAAAGAGCUCGUAGGCGGUCUGUUGCGUCGGCUGUGAAAACCCGAGGCUCAACCUCGGGCCUGCAGCCGAUACGGGCAGACUAGAGUUCGGCAGGGGAGACUGGAAUUCCUGGUGUAGCGGUGAAAUGCGCAGAUAUCGGGAAGAACACCCGUGGCGAAGGCGGCUCUCUGGGACGGUACUGACGCUGAGACGCGAAAGCGUGGGGAGCGAACAGG
Molecule: ribosomal RNA, 253 nt
Filed under: uncultured bacterium
Lineage: Bacteria
Description: partial 16S ribosomal RNA
Rfam family: Bacterial small subunit ribosomal RNA
Source: RNAcentral